UACGUAGGUGGCAAGCGUUGUCCGGAUUUAUUGGGGUUAAAGGGUGCGUAGGCGGUCUUUUAAGUCAGUGCUGAAAUACUCCAGCUUAACUGGAGGGGUGGCAUUGAUACUGGAAGACUUGAGUGCAGUCGAGGUAGGCGGAAUUGACGGUGUAGCGGUGAAAUGCUUAGAUAUCGUCAAGAACACCGAUAGUGAAGACAGCUUACUAGGCUGCAACUGACGCUGAGGCACGAAAGUGUGGGGAUCAAACAGG
Molecule: ribosomal RNA, 253 nt
Filed under: uncultured bacterium
Lineage: Bacteria
Description: partial 16S ribosomal RNA
Rfam family: Bacterial small subunit ribosomal RNA
Source: RNAcentral